Long non-coding RNA from Neomonachus schauinslandi (Hawaiian monk seal), 319 nucleotides. RefSeq lists it as uncharacterized. The transcript is spliced from 3 exons. Lineage: Eukaryota; Metazoa; Chordata; Mammalia; Carnivora; Phocidae. The record is from RefSeq and is a predicted model, not a curated record.
CUCGCCACCCCGCCCGCCUACUCCCGCUGCCGCCGGGCUCUCGCUUUCUCUCCGGCCUCCCCUCGACCCUUCCCCUCCCCCUACCCGGCACACACGGGGGGCUGGGAGCGAGCUGCCAUGUGAUGCGCGUCCUCUCGGUGAGCUUUUGGUGACCCCCCGAACCGCCCACCGCGCCGGCUCCCUGGAGGGGGCUGCAGGCUGGGAAGACGCUGGGAAGAGGAGGCGGAAAAGGACGCAAAGUUCUCUGGCGAGGACUGGCCGUUGAAAAAAAAAUUGGAAUUCCACCUUGACUACAAAACCGAGAACGAAGAUGUUAAGC